Molecule: ribosomal RNA, 269 nt
Filed under: uncultured bacterium
Lineage: Bacteria
Description: partial 23S ribosomal RNA
Rfam family: Bacterial large subunit ribosomal RNA
Source: RNAcentral
CUCUGCGAACACGUAAGUGGAUGUAUAGGGUCUGACGCCUGCCCGGUGCCGGAAGGUUAAUUGAUGGGGUUAGCCGCAAGGCGAAGCUCUUGAUCGAAGCCCCGGUAAACGGCGGCCGUAACAAUAACGGUCCUAAGGUAGCGAAAUUCCUUGUCGGGUAAGUUCCGACCUGCACGAAUGGCGUAACGCUGGCCACACUGUCUCGACCCGAGACUCAGUGAAGUUGAAAUCGCUGUGAAGAUGCAGUGUAUCCGCGGUCGACGCGGCCG